AGGAUGAACGCUGGCGGCGUGCUUAACACAUGCAAGUCACGGGGGCUCAGCAAUGGGCAACCGGCGAACGGGUGCGUAACACGUGAGCAACCUACCGAAAUGAGGGGGAUAGCCGGCCCAACGGCCGGGUAAUACCGCAUAAGCUCAGAUCCAGGCAUUUGGGUCUGAGGAAACCUCCGGGGCGUUUCGAGGGGCUCGCGGCCUAUCAGCUAGUUGGCGAGGUAAUGGCUCACCAAGGCGACGACGGGUA
Molecule: ribosomal RNA, 250 nt
Filed under: uncultured soil bacterium
Lineage: Bacteria
Description: partial 16S ribosomal RNA
Rfam family: Bacterial small subunit ribosomal RNA
Source: RNAcentral